AGAUUGAACGCUGGCGGCAGGCCUAACACAUGCAAGUCGAGCGGUAGAGAGGUGCUUGCAUCUCUUGAGAGCGGCGGACGGGUGAGUAAUGCCUAGGAAUCUGCCUAGUGGUGGGGGAUAACGUUCGGAAACGGACGCUAAUACCGCAUACGUCCUACGGGAGAAAGCGGGGGACCUUCGGGCCUCGCGCCAUUAGAUGAGCCUAGGUCGGAUUAGCUAGUUGGUGAGGUAAUGGCUCACCAAGGCGACGAUCCGUAACUGGUCUGAGAGGAUGAUCAGUCACACUGGAACUGAGACACGGUCCAGACUCCUACGGGAGGCAGCAGUGGGGAAUAUUGGACAAUGGGCGAAAGCCUGAUCCAGCCAUGCCGCGUGUGUGAAGAAGGUCUUCGGAUUGUAAAGCACUUUAAGUGGAGGAAGGUUGUAACCUAAUACGUUGCAACUUUGACGUUACCGACAGAAUAAGCACCGGCUAACUUCGUGCCAGCAGCCG
This 493-nucleotide ribosomal RNA is filed under the name uncultured soil bacterium. RNAcentral describes it as "bacterial SSU rRNA". It matches the Rfam family "Bacterial small subunit ribosomal RNA", at positions 26 to 517 of the family's 1533-position model. The record is from RNAcentral.